GUGCACAUUUCAUUGUCUUUUUUCUUUAUAUCGAGCGGAAAGAUACUUCUGAUGUGCUAAACAAACCUUUGGAGAUAAAUUUGCAGCAUGACUAAUUCAGCCAUCACUGUCACCUUCAGACAAGU
RNAcentral lists this small nucleolar RNA (125 nucleotides) under Myotis lucifugus (little brown bat). The record is from RNAcentral. Lineage: Eukaryota; Metazoa; Chordata; Mammalia; Chiroptera; Vespertilionidae.